This 76-nucleotide transfer RNA is filed under the name Nanobdellota archaeon. RNAcentral's name for it is "tRNA-Arg". It matches the Rfam family "tRNA". From Rfam's summary of the family: Transfer RNA (tRNA) molecules are approximately 80 nucleotides in length. Their secondary structure includes four short double-helical elements and three loops (D, anti-codon, and T loops). Lineage: Archaea; Nanobdellati; Nanobdellota. The record is from RNAcentral.
GCCCCUGUAGCUCAGCCUGGAUUAGAGCACAACCUUGCGGAGGUUGGGGUCCUCGGUUCAAAUCCGAGCUGGGGCG